This 951-nucleotide long non-coding RNA is filed under the name Nicotiana benthamiana. RNAcentral's name for it is "long non-coding RNA (NBEN_LNC026098)". Lineage: Eukaryota; Viridiplantae; Streptophyta; Magnoliopsida; Solanales; Solanaceae. The record is from RNAcentral.
UUGAAAGUAAAACAGAUUCGGCAAGCAAAACAAAACUGAACCAGAUACUCACAUACAAAGCCAGGUAGUCACACACAAAGCACACAAUACUCAAAAUAAGGACAGAGUUACCCUCCUUCUUCGCGACCGGAGAUGAUCGGCCUUCAAAAUAUUAGAGAAAACCCUAGGUCCAACAGCGGAAACCCUAGGUUCUGAAAAUUGCCGGAGUAAGGUCAUAGACGUCGGAAAAUCACCCAAAACGUCCAUCAAGCGAAGGAAAAAGUCAUCGGAUAACACCAAAACUCCAGGUCCGAAAGUCGGAAAAUCCUAGAAUUUGAAGAACUCGUCGGAACAAGGUCAGAGAUGCCGGAAAAUAACCCACAACAUCUACCGAUACAUGAUCGGAGCCUCAAACAGACAUAACAGUCCCGAUUAAUCGAUUAACAAUCAUCGAAAAAAAUAUUUUCCUCAGAUGAUCGAAGAAAAAACUUCAGCGAAAGCUUCAUCAAGCGUCGAUAACACGUAACAAAGAAGAAUCGGAAAAUUUCCUGCUCUGAUACCAUGAAAACAUGGAGUUUUGAAGAAGGAAACCAGAGAAAUGAAGAUGAACAGUGAGGAGCAGAGAGAGAGAUGAGAAGCUUCUGGAGGAAACCUGAGAAGCAAAAUGAAAUCCUCAAAUAAAAAUAUCUGAUACAUGACCAUAUAUACACCUAACAUUGGGUCGGGUCAGACGGCCCAAUGACAAAAAUAAAAUGGGGCUCAGAUACAUGUUUAACCCAAACAACAAAUCAAUCAUCAUAGCUCACUCCCACCUACACAAUGUAUACUAUAAAAUACAAUAAAUAUACAACGUAUAUUUAUGUUCCCAAACAACAAAUCAAUCAUCAUAGACUCCCACCUAUACAAUGUAUACCAGAAAAUAUAAUAAAUAUACAACGUAUAUACAGUGUAUACAAUCAUGUAAGCUCUUUC